UGCAGUCGAGCGGACAGAUGGGAGCUUGCUCCCUGAUGUUAGCGGCGGACGGGUGAGUAACACGUGGGUAACCUGCCUGUAAGACUGGGAUAACUCCGGGAAACCGGGGCUAAUACCGGAUGGUUGUUUGAACCGCAUGGUUCAAACAUAAAAGGUGGCUUCGGCUACCACUUACAGAUGGACCCGCGGCGCAUUAGCUAGUUGGUGAGGUAACGGCUCACCAAGGCAACGAUGCGUAGCCGACCUGAGAGGGUGAUCGGCCACACUGGGACUGAGACACGGCCCAGACUCCUACGGGAGGCAGCAGUAGGGAAUCUUCCGCAAUGGACGAAAGUCUGACGGAGCAACGCCGCGUGAGUGAUGAAGGUUUUCGGAUCGUAAAGCUCUGUUGUUAGGGAAGAACAAGUACCGUUCGAAUAGGGCGGUACCUUGACGGUACCUAACCAGAAAGCCACGGCUAACUACGUGCCAGCAGCCGCGGUAAUACGUAGGUGGCAAGCGUUGUCCGGAAUUAUUGGGCGUAAAGGGCUCGCAGGCGGUUUCUUAAGUCUGAUGUGAAAGCCCCCGGCUCAACCGGGGAGGGUCAUUGGAAACUGGGGAACUUGAGUGCAGAAGAGGAGAGUGGAAUUCCACGUGUAGCGGUGAAAUGCGUAGAGAUGUGGAGGAACACCAGUGGCGAAGGCGACUCUCUGGUCUGUAACUGACGCUGAGGAGCGAAAGCGUGGGGAGCGAACAGGAUUAGAUACCCUGGUAGUCCACGCCGUAAACGAUGAGUGCUAAGUGUUAGGGGGUUUCCGCCCCUUAGUGCUGCAGCUAACGCAUUAAGCACUCCGCCUGGGGAGUACGGUCGCAAGACUGAAACUCAAAGGAAUUGACGGGGGCCCGCACAAGCGGUGGAGCAUGUGGUUUAAUUCGAAGCAACGCGAAGAACCUUACCAGGUCUUGACAUCCUCUGACAAUCCUAGAGAUAGGACGUCCCCUUCGGGGGCAGAGUGACAGGUGGUGCAUGGUUGUCGUCAGCUCGUGUCGUGAGAUGUUGGGUUAAGUCCCGCAACGAGCGCAACCCUUGAUCUUAGUUGCCAGCAUUCAGUUGGGCACUCUAAGGUGACUGCCGGUGACAAACCGGAGGAAGGUGGGGAUGACGUCAAAUCAUCAUGCCCCUUAUGACCUGGGCUACACACGUGCUACAAUGGACAGAACAAAGGGCAGCGAAACCGCGAGGUUAAGCCAAUCCCACAAAUCUGUUCUCAGUUCGGAUCGCAGUCUGCAACUCGACUGCGUGAAGCUGGAAUCGCUAGUAAUCGCGGAUCAGC
Molecule: ribosomal RNA, 1313 nt
Filed under: Bacillus subtilis
Lineage: Bacteria; Bacillati; Bacillota; Bacilli; Caryophanales; Bacillaceae
Description: bacterial SSU rRNA
Rfam family: Bacterial small subunit ribosomal RNA
Source: RNAcentral